GGCAGCAGUGGGGAAUAUUGCACAAUGGAGGAAACUCUGAUGCAGCGACGCCGCGUGAACGAUGAAGGCUUUCGGGUCGUAAAGUUCUGUCCUAGGGGACGAUUAUGACGGUACCCUAGGAGGAAGCCCCGGCUAACUACGUGCCAGCAGCCGCGGUAAU
RNAcentral lists this ribosomal RNA (160 nucleotides) under uncultured bacterium. RNAcentral describes it as "partial 16S ribosomal RNA". It matches the Rfam family "Bacterial small subunit ribosomal RNA", at positions 347 to 524 of the family's 1533-position model. The record is from RNAcentral.